Molecule: ribosomal RNA, 253 nt
Filed under: uncultured bacterium
Lineage: Bacteria
Description: partial 16S ribosomal RNA
Rfam family: Bacterial small subunit ribosomal RNA
Source: RNAcentral
UACGAAGGGGGCUAGCGUUGCUCGGAAUCACUGGGCGUAAAGCGCGCGUAGGCGGCUUUCUAAGUCAGGGGUGAAAUCCUGGAGCUCAACUCCAGAACUGCCUUUGAUACUGGAGAGCUAGAGUCCGGAAGAGGUGAGUGGAACUCCUAGUGUAGAGGUGGAAUUCGUAGAUAUUAGGAAGAACACCAGUGGCGAAGGCGACUCACUGGUCCGGUACUGACGCUGAGGCACGAAAGCGUGGGGAGCAAACAGG